This 29-nucleotide non-coding RNA is filed under the name Mus musculus (house mouse). The record is from RNAcentral. Lineage: Eukaryota; Metazoa; Chordata; Mammalia; Rodentia; Muridae.
UACUUUAAUGUGCUCAGCCUACCGAGGAC